RNAcentral lists this ribosomal RNA (277 nucleotides) under uncultured bacterium. RNAcentral's name for it is "partial 16S ribosomal RNA". It matches the Rfam family "Bacterial small subunit ribosomal RNA", at positions 77 to 350 of the family's 1533-position model. The record is from RNAcentral.
CAAACUGAAGAUGGCGACCGGCGCACGGGUGAGUAACACGUAUCCAACCUGCCGAUAACUCCGGAAUAGCCUUUCGAAAGAAAGAUUAAUACCGGAUAGCAUACGAAUAUCGCAUGAUAUUUUUAUUAAAGAAUUUCGGUUAUCGAUGGGGAUGCGUUCCAUUAGUUUGUUGGCGGGGUAACGGCCCACCAAGACUACGAUGGAUAGGGGUUCUGAGAGGAAGGUCCCCCACAUUGGAACUGAGACACGGUCCAAACUCCUACGGGAGGCAAGCAUG